This 441-nucleotide ribosomal RNA is filed under the name uncultured bacterium. RNAcentral describes it as "partial 16S ribosomal RNA". It matches the Rfam family "Bacterial small subunit ribosomal RNA", at positions 338 to 795 of the family's 1533-position model. The record is from RNAcentral.
CCUACGGGUGGCAGCAGUGGGGAAUAUUGCACAAUGGGGGAAACCCUGAUGCAGCGACGCCGCGUGAGUGAAGAAGUAUUUCGGUAUGUAAAGCUCUAUCAGCAGGAACGAGACAAGACGGUACCUGACUAAGAAGCCCCUGCUAACUACGUCCCAGCAGCCGCGGUAAUACGUAGGGGGCAAGCGUUAUCCGGAAUCACUGGGUGUAAGGGGAGCGUAGAGGGAUGUGCAAGCCUGAAGUGAAAGGCGGGGGCCCAACCCCUGGACUGCUUUGGGAACUGGACGGCUGGAGUGCAGGAGAGGUAAGUGGAAUUCCUAGUGUAGCGGUGAAAUGCGUAGAUAUUAGGAGGAACACCAGUGGCGAAGGCGGCUUACUGGACUGUAACUGACGUUGAGGCUCGAAAGCGUGGGGAGCAAACAGGAUUAGAUACCCCUGUAGUC